GACGAACGCUGGCGGCGUGCUUAACACAUGCAAGUCGAGCGGUAAGGCCCUUUCGGGGUACGACGAGCGGCGAACGGGUGAGUAACACGUGGGUGACCUGCCCUCAGCUCUGGGAGUAAGACCCGGGAAACGUGGGUCUAAUACCGGAUAUGACUUCAUGACGCAUGUUGUGGAGUGGAAAGCCUUGUGCGGCUGAGGAUGGGCCCGCGGCCUAUCAGCUUGUUGGUGGGGGUGANGGCCUACCAAGGCGACGACGGGUAGCCGGCCUGAGAGGGCGACCGGCCACACUGGGACUGAGAUACGGCCCAGACUCCUACGGGAGGC
RNAcentral lists this ribosomal RNA (324 nucleotides) under uncultured bacterium. RNAcentral's name for it is "bacterial SSU rRNA". It matches the Rfam family "Bacterial small subunit ribosomal RNA", at positions 28 to 349 of the family's 1533-position model. The record is from RNAcentral.